RNAcentral lists this ribosomal RNA (497 nucleotides) under uncultured bacterium. RNAcentral's name for it is "partial 16S ribosomal RNA". It matches the Rfam family "Bacterial small subunit ribosomal RNA", at positions 28 to 507 of the family's 1533-position model. The record is from RNAcentral.
GAUGAACGCUGGCGGCGUGCCUAAUACAUGCAAGUCGAGCGAACAGUCGAGGAGCUUGCUCCUUUGACGUUAGCGGCGGACGGGUGAGUAACACGUAGGUAACCUACCUAUAAGACUGGGAUAACUUCGGGAAACCGGAGCUAAUACCGGAUAAUAUUUCGAACCGCAUGGUUCGAUAGUGAAAGAUGGCUUUGCUAUCACUUAUAGAUGGACCUGCGCCGUAUUAGCUAGUUGGUAAGGUAACGGCUUACCAAGGCAACGAUACGUAGCCGACCUGAGAGGGUGAUCGGCUACACUGGAACUGAGACACGGUCCAGACUCCUACGGGAGGCAGCAGUAGGGAAUCUUCCGCAAUGGGCGAAAGCCUGACGGAGCAACGCCGCGUGAGUGAUGAAGGUCUUCGGAUCGUAAAACUCUGUUAUUAGGGAAGAACAAACGUGUAAGUAACUGUGCACGUCUUGACGGUACCUAAUCAGAAAGCCACGGCUAACUACGUG